This 1406-nucleotide ribosomal RNA is filed under the name uncultured bacterium. RNAcentral's name for it is "bacterial SSU rRNA". It matches the Rfam family "Bacterial small subunit ribosomal RNA". The record is from RNAcentral.
CCUUAGAGUUUGAUCCUGGCUCAGGAUGAACGCUAGCUACAGGCUUAACACAUGCAAGUCGAGGGGCAGCAUUUUAGUUUGCUUGCAAACUAAAGAUGGCGACCGGCGCACGGGUGAGUAACACGUAUCCAACCUGCCGAUAACUCUGGGAUAGCCUUUCGAAAGAAAGAUUAAUACCGGAUGGCAUAGGAUUAUCGCAUGAUAAUCCUAUUAAAGAAUUUCGGUUAUCGAUGGGGAUGCGUUCCAUUAGGCAGUUGGUGAGGUAACGGCUCACCAAACCUUCGAUGGAUAGGGGUUCUGAGAGGAAGGUCCCCCACAUUGGAACUGAGACACGGUCCAAACUCCUACGGGAGGCAGCAGUGAGGAAUAUUGGUCAAUGGACGGGAGUCUGAACCAGCCAAGUAGCGUGAAGGAUGACUGCCCUAUGGGUUGUAAACUUCUUUUAUACGGGAAUAAAGUGAUCCACGUGUGGAUUUUUGUAUGUACCGUAUGAAUAAGGAUCGGCUAACUCCGUACCAGCAGCCGCGGUAAUACGGAGGAUCCGAGCGUUAUCCGGAUUUAUUGGGUUUAAAGGGAGCGUAGGUGGAUUGUUAAGUCAGUUGUGAAAGUUUGCGGCUCAACCGUAAAAUUGCAGUUGAUACUGGCAGUCUUGAGUACAGUAGAGGUGGGCGGAAUUCGUGGUGUAGCGGUGAAAUGCUUAGAUAUCACGAAGAACUCCGAUUGCGAAGGCAGCUCACUGGACUGCAACUGACACUGAUGCUCGAAAGUGUGGGUAUCAAACAGGAUUAGAUACCCUGGUAGUCCACACAGUAAACGAUGAAUACAAGGUGUGCGGGGACUGACCCCAUGCAUACAGCAGUUAACACAAUAAGUAUUCCACAUGGAGAGUACGAUCGCAUGGUUGAAACUCAAAGGAAUUGAAGGGGGCCCGCACAAAGCGGUGGAUUAUGUGGUUUAAUUCGACACAACGCGAAGAACCUUACCAGGGCUUGACAUCCUACUAACGAAGUAGAGAUACAUCAGGUGCCCUUCGGGGAAAGUAGAGACAGGUGGUGCAUGGUUGUCGUCAGCUCGUGUCGUGAGAUGUUGGGUUAAGUCCCGCAACGAGCGCAACCCCUAUUGUUAGUUGCUACGCAAGAGCACUCUAGCGAGACUGCCGUUGACAAAACGGAGGAAGGUGGGGACGACGUCAAAUCAUCAUGCCCCUUAUGACCUGGGCUACACACGUAAUACAAUGGUCAUUAACAGAGGGAAGCAAAGCCGCGAGGCAGAGCAAAACCCCAAAAAUGAUCUCAGUUCGGAUCGCAGGCUGCAACCCGCCUGCGUGAAGUUGGAAUUGCUAGUAAUCGCAGAUCAGCAUGCUGCGGUGAAUACGUUAAGGGGUCUUGCACUCACCGCCCGUCAAG